Molecule: RNase P RNA, 461 nt
Filed under: Corynebacterium falsenii
Lineage: Bacteria; Bacillati; Actinomycetota; Actinomycetes; Mycobacteriales; Corynebacteriaceae
Description: Bacterial RNase P class A
Rfam family: Bacterial RNase P class A
About the family: Ribonuclease P (RNase P) is a ubiquitous endoribonuclease, found in archaea, bacteria and eukarya as well as chloroplasts and mitochondria. Its best characterised activity is the generation of mature 5'-ends of tRNAs by cleaving the 5'-leader elements of precursor-tRNAs.
Source: RNAcentral
AGGUGGCCGGGUGAUCGCGGCACGUGGAACCAUCCCACACGUUGGGGGAGGCCAGGUGCGGAGGAAAGUCCGGACUCCACAGGGCACGGUGGUUGCUAACAGCAACCCGGGGCGACCCGCGGGCUAGUGCCACAGAAAACAAACCGCCGCGUGCCACCCACGCCUUCGGGCGCACGGUAGCAGCGCGGUAAGGGUGAAAAGGUGCGGUAAGAGCGCACCAGCACCGCAGGUGACUGCGGUGGCUUGGUAAACCCCACUGGGAGCAAGGUCAAGAUGUUGCACACGGAUGUAAGCCGUCCAGCAGUGCGACGCAGUUCCAGAGCUGCCCGCUCGUUUUUAGGGACAGGUAGACCGCUUGAGACCUCCAGCAAUGGAGUGUCCAGAUGGAUGAUCACCUCGCGCCGCCCACCCCACGGGGACUUAAGGCGGUGUACGACAGAAUCCGGCUCACAGGCCACCUU